This 383-nucleotide long non-coding RNA is filed under the name Mytilus galloprovincialis (Mediterranean mussel). Lineage: Eukaryota; Metazoa; Mollusca; Bivalvia; Mytilida; Mytilidae. The record is from RNAcentral.
GACCUUUUUAUACUGGGCGACGUCCGAGCCAGUUUCCUGUUUAAUCUUCGUAAGUUCAUGCAAUUGUAGUUUUGCUACUGGGCGGAUGAUGUCCUCGGGGACAAAAUGUCCACCAGCAGAGACAUCGACCCAGUGGUAAUAAAAGAGGGACGAAAGAUACCAAAGGGACAGUCAAACUCAUAAAUCUAAAACAAACUGACAACGCCAUGGCCAAAAAUGAAAAAGACAAACAGAAAAACAAUAGUACACAUGACACAACAUAGAAAACUAAAGAAUAAACAACACGAACCCCUCCAAAAACUAGGGGUGAUCUCCGGAAGGGUAAGCAGAUCCUGCUCCACAUGUGGCACCCGUCGUGUUGCUUAUGCGAUUACAAAUCCGGU